GGUCCGUUAGCGCAGUGGUUAACGCGCUUACUUUAGGUCAUCUUUUGUGAAUAAUCGCGGUUUAUUCACAAAGGAUUACCCUUAGUGAGAGGUUAUAGGUUCAAAUCUUAUAUAGGUUA
Molecule: non-coding RNA, 119 nt
Organism: Immersiella caudata
Lineage: Eukaryota; Fungi; Ascomycota; Sordariomycetes; Sordariales; Lasiosphaeriaceae
Source: the annotation of a GenBank genome assembly